Molecule: small RNA, 497 nt
Filed under: Didymosphaeria variabile
Lineage: Eukaryota; Fungi; Ascomycota; Dothideomycetes; Pleosporales; Didymosphaeriaceae
Description: eukaryotic LSU rRNA
Rfam family: 5.8S ribosomal RNA (bases 179-332)
Source: RNAcentral
CGUUGGAACCAACGACUUUAACGAGUUGCCAACGACUUUAACGAGCCGCCCACGACUGAGUCCUUAUUUAUACUAGUACCUUACCCUAACUAUCCUUCGGUGGCACCUUCGCCGCCGUUGGAACACAUAAACUCUUUUUGCAUCUAGCAUUACCUGUUCUGAUAAAAAUAAUCGUUACAACUUUCAACAAUGGAUCUCUUGGCUCUGGCAUCGAUGAAGAACGCAGCGAAAUGCGAUAAGUAGUGUGAAUUGCAGAAUUCAGUGAAUCAUCGAAUCUUUGAACGCACAUUGCGCCCCUUGGUAUUCCAUGGGGCAUGCCUGUUCGAGCGUCAUCUACACCCUCAAGCUCUGCUUGGUGUUGGGCGUCUGUCCCGCCUCUUGCGCGUGGACUCGCCCCAAAUUCAUUGGGAGGCGGUCUUUGCCUCCUCUCGCGCAGCACAUUGCGCUCCUAGGGGUUGAGAUCCGCCUCCCCGAAGCACAUUUACCCGCUUUGACCU